AGACCAAGAGCAGAGAAAGACACUCACUCCAGCUCAACUUUAAGUUACUUUUAAGCGCCCCAAGUCAGAUUUUUUUGUCAAACCACCCUCAGAAGAAGACAAAAUACCUGACAGUACAGAGAGUGUUUAAGUUGAGUGUUUAAAUCAACAGUACACAAAGAUGGCGCAGACAGACUGUUGUCGAGUUUCCAGGGCCGUUUUUUAUUCCCAGUCCGUCCCUGGUCAUGAAGUGAAUAACAUCAGCUGUAUGUGAAGACUGAGAUCUGGAUGAUGAUGUUGAUUGGGUGGAGCAGGACGCCAUCCAUCUUUUUGAUCUGCUAAUAACUGGAAUCCAUCACUGCUCGCCGCUCUCCUCGUCCUCUCUCCGGAGUCCACAGGUUUUUAGGAGAACCGACCCAGGAAUGUAGGACAUCGGGAAGUGCUCUGUUAUCUGUCAGCAGAGGUUUGGAGCGGUCAUACAGCACACAUCUCUACACGCGUGUGAGGAUCAUGUGUCAGAUGAGCUCCUCUGAGUUAUGGCCAAUAAAUGACUUUAUGAUUCA
This is a long non-coding RNA of Carassius gibelio (silver crucian carp), 542 nucleotides long. RefSeq lists it as uncharacterized. The transcript has 3 exons. The record is from RefSeq and is a predicted model, not a curated record. Lineage: Eukaryota; Metazoa; Chordata; Actinopteri; Cypriniformes; Cyprinidae.